AGAGUUUGAUCCUGGCUCAGGAUGAACGCUGGCGGCGUGCCUAACACAUGCAAGUCGAGCGAUUUACUUCGGUAAAGAGCGGCGGACGGGUGAGUAACGCGUGGGUAACCUGCCCUGUACACACGGAUAACAUACCGAAAGGUAUGCUAAUACGAGAUAAUAUGCUUUUAUCGCAUGGUAGAAGUAUCAAAGCUUUUGCGGUACAGGAUGGGCCCGCGUCUGAUUAGCUAGUUGGUAAGGUAACGGCUUACCAAGGCGACGAUCAGUAGCCGACCUGAGAGGGUGAUCGGCCACAUUGGAACUGAGACACGGUCCAAACUCCUACGGGAGGCAGCAGUGGGGAAUAUUGCACAAUGGGCGAAAGCCUGAUGCAGCAACGCCGCGUGAGCGAUGAAGGCCUUCGGGUCGUAAAGCUCUGUCCUCAAGGAAGAUAAUGACGGUACUUGAGGAGGAAGCCCCGG
This 461-nucleotide ribosomal RNA is filed under the name uncultured bacterium. Its description in RNAcentral is "bacterial SSU rRNA". It matches the Rfam family "Bacterial small subunit ribosomal RNA", at positions 8 to 496 of the family's 1533-position model. The record is from RNAcentral.